CUAGCCUGCUCNCUGACAUAAAGUGUUAAAUAGCCGCGGUAUCUUGACCGCGCAAGGGUAGCAUAAUCGUUAGUUCCUUAAUUGGGAACUUGUAUGAAUGGUUGGACAAAGAAAAAUCUGUCUCUUGCACUGAAAUUAAAUUUAACUUCUAAGUGAAAAGGCUUAGAUUAUCCAGAGGAACGAUAAGACCCUAAAAGGCUUUAUAAAUUUAUUAUUUUCGUUUAUUUUUUAAAAUAAUAAUGAUGAUAAGAGAAUUUAUUUGGUUGGGGCACCCGAAGUAUAAUUUUAAAUAACUGCUAUAAUUUAAUACAAUGAUUUUUGUCUUAUACAAUAAUUGAUCCUAAAAGAGAUUAAAGACCAAGUUACUUUAGGGAUAACAGCGUAAGUUUAUCCUGAGAGUUCUUAUAAAAGGAAAAGUUUGCGACCUCGAUGUUGAAUUAAAAUGUCUACCUAGUGCAGCAGCUAGGAAAGAAGGUCUGUUCGACCUUUAAUUUUUUACAUGAUC
This 505-nucleotide ribosomal RNA is filed under the name Callinectes sapidus (blue crab). RNAcentral's name for it is "partial large subunit ribosomal RNA". It matches the Rfam family "Bacterial large subunit ribosomal RNA", at positions 1854 to 2605 of the family's 2925-position model. The record is from RNAcentral. Lineage: Eukaryota; Metazoa; Arthropoda; Malacostraca; Decapoda; Portunidae.